RNAcentral lists this ribosomal RNA (429 nucleotides) under Bacteroidota bacterium. Its description in RNAcentral is "Bacteroidetes bacterium partial 16S ribosomal RNA". It matches the Rfam family "Bacterial small subunit ribosomal RNA", at positions 355 to 776 of the family's 1533-position model. Lineage: Bacteria; Pseudomonadati; Bacteroidota. The record is from RNAcentral.
UAGGGAAUCUUCCGCAAUGGACGCAAGUCUGACGGAGUAACGCCGCGUGAGUGAAGAAGGAUUUCGGUUCGUAAAACUCUGUUGUUAGAGAAGAACAGCGCAUAGAGUAACUGUUAUGCGUGUGACGGUAUCUAACCAGAAAGCCACGGCUAACUACGUGCCAGCAGCCGCGGUAAUACGUAGGUGGCAAGCGUUGUCCGGAUUUAUUGGGCGUAAAGCGAGCGCAGGCGGUCAAUUAAGUCUGAUGUGAAAGCCCCCGGCUCAACCGGGGAGGGUCAUUGGAAACUGGUUGACUUGAGUGCAGAAGAGGAGAGUGGAAUUCCAUGUGUAGCGGUGAAAUGCGUAGAUAUAUGGAGGAACACCAGUGGCGAAGGCGACUCUCUGGUCUGUAACUGACGCUGAGGCUCGAAAGCGUGGGUAGCAAACAGG